AUAACAUCUCAUAAUAACAUCUCUAUUGGAAUAUGGGUUCUAAGUUCCGGAUUAGAAUUACAGGAACACAUCCUGGCCUGAUGGACCUGGUGAAAAUAUUCUUUCUCCUCAAUCCCACAUCUCUGAAAUGCUGAAAACCAAGAGGACCAUAGGAAUGUUUGACUAAGAAUGCUAUCUCUGCUAUAUUCACUGUUAACCAGAUGCUGAAUUGCAAGCUCGAUAGACUGCUGGGAAACAAAAUAUUUUCUACCAGACUAUUAAUAUCUGCACAACUGAAUGGGGAGAGCUGAUUGUCUCCGACUUUAUCAUUUGUGAUAUUAUAUUUGUUUAUUUCCUGCUUCUUCCACUGGAAUAACCACUUCAUUGGUGCAGAAGUUGGUUGGCCUGUCCCUUUUCUCAUGUGGCCUGAUUUCAAGGCCACAAUCAAACAGGACACCUGCUUUUCCUGCUUCAAGAAUCAGGCACUGCAUGGUUCAAAGCUGCAUAGGAAGAUAAAUGGAAGAACAACAAAGUGGAUGAGAAAGAUCCUGCUUGGAUCAAAAAGUGUCCUUGUCAAAUGACAUUAUAUAAAUAUUUCUGAACAGGAAUGAACAUUUCUACUACUACUUUUUGGCAUUAAAGUAUUUUUAAUUAAGGUGUUCAGUAGCUCACUGUGAUUGUUGAGAGGUCCACAUGGGGACCAAGGUACACAGCUGGUAAGCACAUCUUUAUAAAUGAAUUCAGAAGCACAAUUCUGUGAGGCAUUUGAAAGCAGCCACCAAUAGUCUGAAAUCUCUACUGGAACUGGGUUUGUCACCUGUGGAAAAGUAAUUCUGAUUAAGCAGCACUGAGAUUAGUCAUUCUGGCCUCUACUGACUUGGAGUUGUUCAAGCUUCACUAGAAUCUUCCCCAUCUUUUGGCACCUGAGUGUUUUACAUACCUGUGACCAUAAACUGAAACUGAACCAAUAGAAUUGACAGCCCAGAAAGCAAACACUAUUGUUGGCAGUUGAGGGGAAGGACUCUCAGAGGAGGACCAAGUUUAUAUGACAACUCCACUGAGGUGAAUCACCACUAAAGGAAACAGACUCUAGCGUAUGCAAGCUGUCUUUACUUAUUACGCAGAGUGUCUAAAAUGAGCAAUUAAUAUUAAAAGUUUCCUUAUAACAUCUGA
Non-coding RNA from Microcebus murinus (gray mouse lemur), 1152 nucleotides. The record is from RefSeq and is a predicted model, not a curated record. Lineage: Eukaryota; Metazoa; Chordata; Mammalia; Primates; Cheirogaleidae.